RNAcentral lists this ribosomal RNA (253 nucleotides) under uncultured bacterium. RNAcentral describes it as "partial 16S ribosomal RNA". It matches the Rfam family "Bacterial small subunit ribosomal RNA", at positions 524 to 776 of the family's 1533-position model. The record is from RNAcentral.
UACGUAGGGGGCAAGCGUUGUCCGGAAUCAUUGGGCGUAAAGAGCGCGUAGGCGGCCCUGUAAGUCCGCCGUGAAAGUCAAGGGCUCAACCCUUGAAUGCCGGUGGAUACUGCAGGGCUAGAGUCCGGAAGAGGCGAGUGGAAUUCCUGGUGUAGCGGUGAAAUGCGCGGAUAUCAGGAGGAACACCGAUGGCGAAGGCAGCUCGCUGGGACGGUACUGACGCUGAGGCGCGAAAGCUAGGGGAGCGAACGGG